This 253-nucleotide ribosomal RNA is filed under the name uncultured bacterium. Its description in RNAcentral is "partial 16S ribosomal RNA". It matches the Rfam family "Bacterial small subunit ribosomal RNA", at positions 524 to 776 of the family's 1533-position model. The record is from RNAcentral.
UACGGGGGGGGCAAGCGUUGUUCGGAAUUACUGGGCGUAAAGGGCCAGUAGGCGGCCAACUAAGUCCGACGUGAAAUCCCCAGGCUUAACCUGGGAACUGCGUCGGAUACUGGAUGGCUUGAAUUCGGGAGAGGGAUGCAGAAUUCCAGGUGUAGCGGUGAAAUGCGUAGAUAUCUGGAGGAACACCGGUGGCGAAGGCGGCAUCCUGGACCAACACUGACACUGAGGAGCGAAAGCCAGGGGAGCAAACGGG